RNAcentral lists this ribosomal RNA (468 nucleotides) under uncultured bacterium. RNAcentral's name for it is "partial 16S ribosomal RNA". It matches the Rfam family "Bacterial small subunit ribosomal RNA", at positions 28 to 507 of the family's 1533-position model. The record is from RNAcentral.
GACGAACGCUGGCGGCGUGCUUAACACAUGCAAGUCGAACGGAAAGGCCCUGCUUUUGUGGGGUGCUCGAGUGGCGAACGGGUGAGUAACACGUGAGUAACCUGCCCUUGACUUUGGGAUAACUUCAGGAAAAUGGGGCUAAUACCGGAUAGGAGCUCCUGCUGCAUGGUGGGGGUUGGAAAGUUUCGGCGGUUGGGGAUGGACUCGCGGCUUAUCAGCUUGUUGGUGGGGUAGUGGCUUACCAAGGCUUUGACGGGUAGCCGGCCUGAGAGGGUGACCGGCCACAUUGGGACUGAGAUACGGCCCAGACUCCUACGGGAGGCAGCAGUGGGGAAUAUUGCACAAUGGGCGGAAGCCUGAUGCAGCAACGCCGCGUGCGGGAUGACGGCCUUCGGGUUGUAAACCGCUUUCGCCUGGGACGAAGCGUAAGUGACGGUAAUUGGUAAAGAAGCACCGGCUAACUACGUG